AGAGACGUAGCGUAGUGGCAACGCGCUCCCCUCGGGCGGGAGAUUCGCCGGUUCAAUUCCGGCCGUCUCUACCA
This 74-nucleotide transfer RNA is filed under the name Candidatus Elarobacter sp. RNAcentral describes it as "tRNA-Pro". It matches the Rfam family "tRNA". From Rfam's summary of the family: Transfer RNA (tRNA) molecules are approximately 80 nucleotides in length. Their secondary structure includes four short double-helical elements and three loops (D, anti-codon, and T loops). Lineage: Bacteria; Bacillati; Vulcanimicrobiota; Vulcanimicrobiia; Vulcanimicrobiales; Vulcanimicrobiaceae. The record is from RNAcentral.